AUAGUCACGGCUGUCGUCGGUUCCGUUAGGGACCAAGAGGGAAUGCGGUGAGGGUGAAUUCCUGCCCAAUGCCGUGGCUGCCCCCGCAACUGUGUGCGGUAGUCCUCUCCAUAUGCCACUGAAGAUUUUUCUUCGGGAAGGUGGGGAAGGGCGCUGAUCCGCGAGCCAGGAGACCUGCCGGCGACAGGGAAAUGAC
RNAcentral lists this non-coding RNA (196 nucleotides) under Mesorhizobium metallidurans. Lineage: Bacteria; Pseudomonadati; Pseudomonadota; Alphaproteobacteria; Hyphomicrobiales; Phyllobacteriaceae. The record is from RNAcentral.